GGCCAAAAGACUCUUUCUUCUUCUCUUUGUUUCUAAUUUAAAUCAGCGCCCUAAUUCCUUUAAAUCCCAACAUCCCUGUAGAGAGAGAGAAAAGAAAAAAUCCUAUAGAAUCUGGAGUCACGCUCACUCACACACAAAGUCUAGAGAAAGAAACCUAUGACAGCUAAGGGAAUGUGGCCUCAAGGAGACGAUCUAAGCCCCCUAUCUUCCUUUUUCUAUUGUUUCCUUUCCCUUUUUGGUUUCUCUAAUUCUCUCUUCUUUUUACACUUUUCAAUUUCCACUCGUUUACUGUUUUUUUUACCUCAAUUUGCUACAUUUGGGUUUUAAAAGUCGAGAUCGGCACCGAAAAGCUCCCCUAGUGUUGCUUUUGCUGGUCAGGACUUGCAUUUUCAAAAAAAUUUACGAUAAAUCUCUUGGGGUUUUGUGUGUGAAUUGUCCCUUCUGAUGUUUUAUUUUCAAACAUUGAACCCAAAACCCGCGAAUUUUUCAUCUGGGCCCCCUUUCUU
Molecule: unclassified non-coding RNA, 506 nt
Filed under: Hevea brasiliensis (rubber tree)
Lineage: Eukaryota; Viridiplantae; Streptophyta; Magnoliopsida; Malpighiales; Euphorbiaceae
Source: RNAcentral